UUUUGUUUUGUGGUUCUCAAUAGGAGCCUUCUUAUGAUUGCGUCGUCAGACACCCUGCCGUCCCAGCUUCUAUCCCCUUGACGACAUUUCUUACUUAUUUUACUGUGGUGUGGUGACAAAUCACCAUUUCUUGAGGCAUCUUUCCGGCAUUUCGUUAAGAUAUCACCUUCCUCCCCUUCUUCAUAUAUAUGUCUUCCUUCCAUAGCAUUUAGGAGUUGUCUUUGCUAUGAAUUGAUUAGUGGAGCAGAUGAUAGAUGAUGAUGAUGCCAAGCCUGUGAAAAUGCUACUGAGUUGCUAUCAGCAGAAGGAUAAUUAAUUGGAGUAAUUUCAUUCCUUUGUUGCCGCUGU
RNAcentral lists this long non-coding RNA (348 nucleotides) under Nicotiana benthamiana. RNAcentral describes it as "long non-coding RNA (NBEN_LNC010695)". The record is from RNAcentral. Lineage: Eukaryota; Viridiplantae; Streptophyta; Magnoliopsida; Solanales; Solanaceae.